ACUGCCUCUAUAGGCAUUGCAGGUGUGGCUGCUGUGUCACAUGUGCUUCAGUAGGUGGCAGAGAGGAGAGAGGCUGUGUCUAUGCUCAGUGGUCUAGCCUGUGGACACCUGCAUGAUUAGUAGCCUAACAGU
Molecule: small nucleolar RNA, 132 nt
Organism: Arvicanthis niloticus (Nile rat)
Lineage: Eukaryota; Metazoa; Chordata; Mammalia; Rodentia; Muridae
Product: small nucleolar RNA SNORA17
Source: RefSeq, a predicted model, not a curated record